Molecule: ribosomal RNA, 1300 nt
Filed under: Marquandomyces cf. marquandii
Lineage: Eukaryota; Fungi; Ascomycota; Sordariomycetes; Hypocreales; Clavicipitaceae
Description: SSU rRNA
Rfam family: Eukaryotic small subunit ribosomal RNA
Source: RNAcentral
ACAGCGAAACUGCGAAUGGCUCAUUAUAUAAGUUAUCGUUUAUUUGAUAGUACCUUACUACUUGGAUAACCGUGGUAAUUCUAGAGCUAAUACAUGCUAAAAAUCCCGACUUCGGAAGGGAUGUAUUUAUUAGAUUAAAAACCAAUGCCCUCUGGGCUCCUUGGUGAUUCAUGAUAACUUCUCGAAUCGCACGGCCUUGCGCCGGCGAUGGUUCAUUCAAAUUUCUUCCCUAUCAACUUUCGAUGUUUGGGUAGUGGCCAAACAUGGUUGCAACGGGUAACGGAGGGUUAGGGCUCGACCCCGGAGAAGGAGCCUGAGAAACGGCUACUACAUCCAAGGAAGGCAGCAGGCGCGCAAAUUACCCAAUCCCGAUUCGGGGAGGUAGUGACAAUAAAUACUGAUACAGGGCUCUUUUGGGUCUUGUAAUUGGAAUGAGUACAAUUUAAAUCCCUUAACGAGGAACAAUUGGAGGGCAAGUCUGGUGCCAGCAGCCGCGGUAAUUCCAGCUCCAAUAGCGUAUAUUAAAGUUGUUGUGGUUAAAAAGCUCGUAGUUGAACCUUGGGCCUGGCUGGCCGGUCCGCCUCACCGCGUGUACUGGUCCGGCCGGGCCUUUCCCUCUGUGGAACCCCAUGCCCUUCACUGGGCGUGGCGGGGAAACAGGACUUUUACUUUGAAAAAAUUAGAGUGCUCCAGGCAGGCCUAUGCUCGAAUACAUUAGCAUGGAAUAAUAAAAUAGGACGUGCGGUUCUAUUUUGUUGGUUUCUAGGACCGCCGUAAUGAUUAAUAGGGACAGUCGGGGGCAUCAGUAUUCAAUUGUCAGAGGUGAAAUUCUUGGAUUUAUUGAAGACUAACUACUGCGAAAGCAUUUGCCAAGGAUGUUUUCAUUAAUCAGGAACGAAAGUUAGGGGAUCGAAGACGAUCAGAUACCGUCGUAGUCUUAACCAUAAACUAUGCCGACUAGGGAUCGGACGAUGUUAAAUUUUGACUCGUUCGGCACCUUACGAGAAAUCAAAGUGCUUGGGCUCCAGGGGGAGUAUGGUCGCAAGGCUGAAACUUAAAGAAAUUGACGGAAGGGCACCACCAGGGGUGGAGCCUGCGGCUUAAUUUGACUCAACACGGGGAAACUCACCAGGUCCAGACACAAUGAGGAUUGACAGAUUGAGAGCUCUUUCUUGAUUUUGUGGGUGGUGGUGCAUGGCCGUUCUUAGUUGGUGGAGUGAUUUGUCUGCUUAAUUGCGAUAACGAACGAGACCUUAACCUGCUAAAUAGCCCGUAUUGCUUUGGCAGUACGCCGGCUCUA